AUUGAACGCUGGCGGCAUGCCUUACACAUGCAAGUCGAACGGCAGCACGGGAGCAAUCCUGGUGGCGAGUGGCGAACGGGUGAGUAAUAUAUCGGAACGUGCCCAGUCGUGGGGAUAACGUAGAGAAAUUUACGCUAAUACCGCAUACGAUCUAAGGAUGAAAGCGGGGGACCGUAAGGCCUCGCGCGAUUGGAGCGGCUGAUAUCAGAUUAGGUUGUUGGUGAGGUAAAAGCUCACCAAGCCGACGAUCUGUAGCUGGUUUGAGAGAACGACCAGCCACACUGGGACUGAGACACGGCCCAGACUCCUACGGGAGGCAGCAGUGGGGAAUUUUGGACAAUGGGCGAAAGCCUGAUCCAGCAAUGCCGCGUGCAGGAAGAAGGCCUCGG
Molecule: ribosomal RNA, 389 nt
Filed under: uncultured bacterium
Lineage: Bacteria
Description: bacterial SSU rRNA
Rfam family: Bacterial small subunit ribosomal RNA
Source: RNAcentral